Non-coding RNA from Salmo salar (Atlantic salmon), 54 nucleotides. The record is from Rfam. NCBI's taxonomy places the organism in Eukaryota, Metazoa, Chordata, Actinopteri, Salmoniformes, Salmonidae.
UAUACUCACUACUGUAAGUCGCUCUGGAAAAGAGCGUCUGCUAACUGACGUAAA